Molecule: ribosomal RNA, 345 nt
Filed under: Triticum aestivum (bread wheat)
Lineage: Eukaryota; Viridiplantae; Streptophyta; Magnoliopsida; Poales; Poaceae
Description: partial small subunit ribosomal RNA
Source: RNAcentral
AUGUGUUCUAUGGUGACUCUGGUGGAGAGUAUAUCUCCAAGCCGUUGCGUGGAAUCCUUGCUGAGCAGACUUUGGUUCUCUUAUCCUGGUGCUCAUGCUCAAAAUGGCGUGGCUGAGCAGAAGCAUCGUCACCUUCUUGAGACGGCUCCUCCAUUGAUGGUCACCGCCUCUCUUUCACCGCACUUUUGGGCCGAGUCUGUCUCCACUUCCAUCUAUCACAUCAACGUUCAGCAAUCCAUUGCUCUGCAGGGUGGCACUCCUUUCGAGCGUCUAUUUGAUUAUUUCCUGAUUAUUCGGCACUUCAAUUGUUUGGUUGUGUUUGCUAUGUCCUUCUUGCCCACGUGA